RNAcentral lists this ribosomal RNA (497 nucleotides) under uncultured bacterium. RNAcentral describes it as "partial 16S ribosomal RNA". It matches the Rfam family "Bacterial small subunit ribosomal RNA", at positions 28 to 507 of the family's 1533-position model. The record is from RNAcentral.
GAUGAACGCUGGCGGCGUGCCUAAUACAUGCAAGUCGAGCGAACGGACUAGAAGCUUGCUUCUCUGAUGUUAGCGGCGGACGGGUGAGUAACACGUGGAUAACCUACCUAUAAGACGGGGAUAACUUCGGGAAACCGGAGCUAAUACCGGAUAAUAUCUUGAACCGCAUGGUUCAAAAGUGAAAGACGGUCUUGCUUUCACUUAUAGAUGGAUCCGCGCUGCUUUAGCUAGUUGGUAAGGUAACGGUUUACCAAGGCAACGAUGCAUAGCCGACCUGAGAGGGUGAUCGGCCACACUGGAACGGAGCCACGGUCCAGACCCCUACGGGAGGAAGCAGAGGGGAAUCUUCCGCAAAGGGCGAAAGCUUGACGGAGCAAGGCGGCGGGAGUGAUGAGGUUCUUCGGAUCGUAAACCUCUGUUAUUAGGGAGGAACAUAUGUGUAAGUAAAUGUGCACAUCUUGACGGUACCUAAUCAGAAAGCCACGGCUAACUACGUG